Long non-coding RNA from Dermacentor albipictus, 517 nucleotides. RefSeq lists it as uncharacterized. The record is from RefSeq and is a predicted model, not a curated record. Lineage: Eukaryota; Metazoa; Arthropoda; Arachnida; Ixodida; Ixodidae.
AAUCGUGCGGAGACGCCGGGAGUCGCCGCUGGUUUCGUAUCGAUAGAUCACAGAGGCUAUGGAGGCGAUCAACAACGAAGCGCUGAUCGCCUGCGUUGAGGCUCGACCUGCGCUUUGGUAGCAGGCGAAACACAAGCGCCACUAGAACAAGCACUUGACGAGGUGGUCGUGGAUCGUCAUGCCCAACGCUGCCGAACAGAUGACGUUAUCACAGCGCUGCAGAAGUGAUGGAAGUCCCUGGGGAAUAAAUUUCGGCGCCUGGGAAGACGUCAGAAAGGAAAGAGCCGCGCCGUGCCAGCUGUCGACGUUCACAACGACGUCAUCUGGCUGUUUUUCGACCAGAUGAUGUUUCUGCGCUACACAAUGGAGUGUAGACCGAUGUCCGCCAACCUUCCACCAGUGCCCCCAUCGAGUGAAGAGGGAAGUGCUGCAGACAUCUUAACAAAAAAUUUGCCAGUUUUCCGAUCUGGCAACACUUGAAGCGCCAUCACCGUGAUGUGAAGAGUCACAAGCACCA